This 129-nucleotide microRNA precursor is filed under the name Podarcis lilfordi (Lilford's wall lizard). The record is from RNAcentral. Lineage: Eukaryota; Metazoa; Chordata; Lepidosauria; Squamata; Lacertidae.
GUGGAUUUAGUUGUCCCAUGUAUAACUCUGUGCAGAAGUUAAUUAUUUGCUAUUCUGUAAUGUGCAAUAUUACAGAAUAGCAAAUAAUUAACUUCUGCACAGAGUUAUACAUGGGACAACUAAAUCCAC